RNAcentral lists this ribosomal RNA (248 nucleotides) under uncultured bacterium. RNAcentral's name for it is "partial 16S ribosomal RNA". It matches the Rfam family "Bacterial small subunit ribosomal RNA", at positions 524 to 771 of the family's 1533-position model. The record is from RNAcentral.
UACGUAGGGUGCGAGCGUUAAUCGGAAUUACUGGGCGUAAAGCGUGCGCAGGCGGUUUUGUAAGCCAGAUGUGAAAUCCCCGGGCUUAACCUGGGAAUGGCAUUUGGGACUGCAAGGCUUGAGUGCGGCAGAGGAGACUGGAAUUCCUGGUGUAGCAGUGAAAUGCGUAGAUAUCAGGAGGAACACCGAUGGCGAAGGCAGGUCUCUGGGCUGACACUGACGCUCAUGCACGAAAGCGUGGGGAGCAA